UUUAAGAUUGAGGAUAAAUUAAACCGUGUGCACUACGUCAAAAUUCAUAUAAAUACUUCCAUAGGCAUUGCUCGAAAUUCAACUCCUAAAACAUUUUCAAAAUUGUUGGUACUUUCGUAUAGUAUAGGUUUAAGCAAUGGCAUCACUUUCAACCUCCGUAAGGUCCGUAGUGAUAACACUUAUGAUCUAUGCUAUUCUCCUCUCUUCUUUGCUACUAUCGUCAUGUGACGCAGCCAGAGCCCCUCGAGGUAUAUUUUACGUUCAUUUAUAAACAUAUAUAUAGUACUACUAGACACUUAUAAAUUCAAUUUUUUUUGUGACAUUAAUAUUAUGAAUUUAGACAGAGGCGGAUCUCGCAUAUAAGUACUAGGUAUACGUACAUAAUUGCCAUAAUUAAUACAUGUAUUUUUCUGUUCGCGUGUAUGCAGUACUCUUGGGGAGAAGCAGUUUUCCCGUUGCAUGUCUUCACUGUGUGGGAUGUUGCGAACCAACGCCCCUAGGUACCUGUUGUACCCGCUGUGGUUGUUGAAGAUGAUCACCAAUGAAGUCACCAUAUAUGGCUGUGAAGCUCUGAAAUUUAUCUUUUGUACGAAUCACAGAAAAAGUCUGAUCAGCGAAUUGGUGCAUCUUGGAGUAAUAUGUGCAUGUUAUUCAAUAAAGAAACAACUUGGUUUCUUUAGGUUAUUAGGCCUGUUUUCUGUACACUUGUUGGAGAUGUCGCGUUUGUAACGUUUUGUGUUUCAAUUGAAUAAAUUACGAAAGAGAGGGAUUGAAGAGGAAAGCCUUAUGCGUUAUCUUUUUUUGUUGGUUUGCUUAUAUCUAUUUAACUAAAAUAUGGAAAGAGGGGGAAAAAAGAAAAAACACCGC
Molecule: long non-coding RNA, 867 nt
Filed under: Nicotiana tabacum (common tobacco)
Lineage: Eukaryota; Viridiplantae; Streptophyta; Magnoliopsida; Solanales; Solanaceae
Description: long non-coding RNA (NTAB_LNC012612)
Source: RNAcentral